GGCUUUGGAGGGAAAAAACAAGAGAAAGAGAGCUUCAAUCCAUCUUGGGUUUUGCUUGAUUGAGUACAAACAAGAAAAACUAAACCGAUUAAUCACUAGUUUGGAAGCUUGGGAAGUCUAAGGAACCAAAAAUUUCAAGGAAAACUAGAGGAUCACUCUUGGCUCUUGUCUUGAGGUAUAAUGGCUAAUCACCCUUUCUUUCUCCAUUACUCAUGAUUAAGUUGGGUAUUAAGUUUAGAAUUGUGCUUGUGAUGCCUAUUUCAAGUGGUUUUGAUGAUUGGAGUGAUGAAUUUUAAGAUAGGGUUUUGAUUGAUUUACUUAUAAUUCUUGUUGGUUAGGUGUUAUAUGGUGUAUAUAUAUGGUAUAUAAUCUUGUAAAGGAGAUAGUAGUGGUAGUUUCAAGAUAAAAACAAGAUAAAAAUGAGAAGUAUAGCUUGAAUAUAGCAAAAUUCCAGAUUUCUGGAAAUCUUAGCUUCAGUUCUGUCUGGUUCUAUUUCAUCAUGUUAGAGGCCGAACUAGGCUUAACACAAAACAUGAAAGUUGUAUAGAAUGACAUUUUAUGGUUUCUUACAAAAUUUCAACUCAAUCGGAGCAAUGUAUCCUGUGAAAAGAUAAAAAUACCCUGACUGCCCUAGGAGUAAGGUCAGUGGACAGUUUUGACAGUACACUAAGUUGGUUGCAUUUAUUCACCUUGAUACGUACUGAGCUAGCUUUUAGUCAAAACAUGAAAGUUUUAUUACUUUGUCUUAGCUUUUCAACGCCUCCAAGAACGCCUUAAACGGACUUUGGUAGCUUGAGAUAUGGCCAUUUGGAGGUAGUACGGUUAACUGGCCGGUUAGUUGAAAUUUGGUUCUGUGAAUUGGGAAUUUGACUGGGUUACACUAGAAAUUAGACUAGGUGGUCUACACCAAAGUUGUAGCUCUCUACCUUGGCUUCGAAACGGUAUAAUUUUCAUCUCAAUCCGAUAAGCGUAGCCUCGGUUGUGUCCGUUACGCAAAAAUACGUCAAAUCUGUCUUUUGUUAAACUUCAUUUCCGCACAUGUCGUUAGCUUGAUUUUUGUACUUGCAUUACCUUGAGCCUAUUGAACGGCUAUUGAAAUGAGUUUGUGUUGUGUAUAACUUUGGGUUGAUUGAGGAAAAUAAUGAAGCCGUAAAUGGCUGGAAAAUUAGGUAAAUCCAAAGGGCGUGCUACCCAAAUUUACGCUCCAGGACUAGAGAAAUAUACUUGCGACUUGAGUAAGGGUUAAGAGUGAUUACUACUUGAACCAUCUAGGAUAUUUGCGUCUUCUUUUACCAAGGUAUAUAAGUAAGGACUUGGCCGAACUUGUACCCUUGAGAAAUAAAAUAAUGACUGCUCGGAGUACGUUUUCCUUGUACUUUCGACUCAAAUGGCAUUUCCAAGUAUAAAUGUUACAAAGUUAUAUAGUUUGAAACGCGAGCGAGUGUUUCACGAAUAUUCUCCAAGUGACUUUCCAUUUCUUGAUUCUUAUUGAACGAAACAUCUACGUUUCGAACCUUAGUCGAUUUUUAAAGUUCUGAAACAAAGUUUUAUCGCAGAUUUGGACUCCGAACCCGGAGUAUAACCCAGAUGUGAUUACUAGGGGCACUUCAUUUUGGUGAGUGCUUCCAAAUACCUAAUUGAACUGAACACUUGUUUCCAAUACUUGAUCAAUAUGAUUAAAUGAUAUAAGAUUGGUUUGAUCGGGCAAGAGUGUACUUUAUCGCACUUGCCCUUAUUUGAUAUAUACUUGUUUAUUGUUG
RNAcentral lists this long non-coding RNA (1760 nucleotides) under Coffea arabica (coffee). RNAcentral's name for it is "long non-coding RNA (CARA_LNC002617)". Lineage: Eukaryota; Viridiplantae; Streptophyta; Magnoliopsida; Gentianales; Rubiaceae. The record is from RNAcentral.